This 168-nucleotide ribosomal RNA is filed under the name uncultured bacterium. Its description in RNAcentral is "partial 16S ribosomal RNA". It matches the Rfam family "Bacterial small subunit ribosomal RNA", at positions 1334 to 1500 of the family's 1533-position model. The record is from RNAcentral.
GCUAGUAAUGGCAGGUCAGCAUACUGCCGUGAAUACGUUCCCGGGCCUUGUACACACCGCCCGUCACACCAUGAGAGUUGGGGAUACCCGAAGCCUGUGAGCCAACUUUUUAAGAGGCAGCAGUCGAAGGUAGAAUCAAUGAUUGGGGUGAAGUCGUAACAAGGUAGC